CGCCGUAGUAAUUAUCGGGCUUUCUAAGUUCCAUAGAAUUUUAGUCUCGAAACAUUUCGCUAAAAAUCCAUUGCAAAAAUUAUAGGACGUGUUAAUAUUGCGUUGUAUGUUGGAAGAUGGAUGUUUAUUCUAUACGCUGGCGAAGUUUUACCGGGAACAAAGCAAUUUGAAGGGGAUAUUUUUCGAUUUAAAUUGUUCGUGUCGGCUGUUUGAGAACUGGAAUCGUUAGCCUUUGCUUUCAAUACUAUCACCUAUGAAGACAGUCGCAGGCAUCGAAUGUAAAGUCGCUCAGAAAUAAAAGACGAUCACAUACAAUCAAAGUAGGCAAGUAAAUAUGAUUUUAAAAUAUAAAAUUCAUUACAAAUUUUAUUGUUUAAUAUAUUUUAUAAUGAUAUAUUUACUAUACACUGAUACGCGUCUGGGCCGCCUGUGUAUGACCCUACACGUAAGCAAAUUUGCAUAUUUUCGGACACCUUUUGUAGCGUCUUAGUAAAAAAAUAUACACGUGCGUGAACUAAAAAGAGAGAAAAUCAUAAAACAAAGGACGAAUCUAAGAUAUUGUCAGUGUCAUCUAGCGAAUGAAAAUUAUGUCUGGUCAUGUCGACAGAAAAAUAUAUAAUAAUAUUGUCAGAAGCACAGACAUUAUUAGAGUAUUCUGCGCUAUAAAUAUUCAAAUUGCAAGGAGAUAUGUUUUACAUGUAUCAGGGAUAUUUUCAAGCAGUUUAGUCUACUACUGUUUUUCAGAAAUUAAGAUUGAGUUUCUUUUGGGGCGAGGACGUUAAAAAAUUUUGUGUUCAGGGGCGCACAUUCCAAAAUAUUUUGGAGGGGUGUAAAAUAUUUCGGGACCAACUUUUUACGUGUUUACAAUUUGGAAGUGGGAGUUACACGAGACGCCACCAUGGUUGGCGCCGAGCCGAAAAUGUUUUGAAAUUUUGAAAUCUCUAGAUCGUCGGAAAUGGCAUUUUCAAAGUCUAGUUUGGCCAUCAGUUAACUGUACAGCACAGAAAGGAAGUUGAAUCAGGCAGUGUAUAAUGGCAAUUAGCAAAAUUUUCUGUAACCUUACUUAUUAUUUUUUGGACACUUUCCAAAAAAUAAAUCUCACAGAAACAAAAAUUUUGCGUAAUGUUUGCACCGGACGAUCGGGACCAACAAAUGGUUCAUUUGGGUCCAACUUUUUGAACUAUUUCUCAAAAUAGAUAAUGUGCGGCCCUGUUUGUGAACUUUGUGGUACACAUUUCUAGUGUGC
Non-coding RNA from Paramuricea clavata, 1246 nucleotides. Lineage: Eukaryota; Metazoa; Cnidaria; Anthozoa; Malacalcyonacea; Plexauridae. The record is from the annotation of a GenBank genome assembly.